AAACUGCUGAGACGAGACAUGAGCCCAGAGGUGACACCUGCGGUGGCCGUGGUCGGACUGCAGGUGCAGAGCCCGGUGUCGGUCGCCGGCGCCCAACCUCGAGCUCCACUGAGUGCUGGGGAUGGAUCCCAGGGCCUUGCCAUGUUAGGCAAGUGCUGCGCAUGAGCCACACCCCAGUCUGUUUUUAAAGAAAGAUAAGAAAGCAGGUAUCACCUCUGGUCAGUCUGAGGGAGCCAGUGCCCACCCCAUAGCAAGGCAGAUUCCUAAGGGAAUUCCUCUCUUCGUUCCCACAAGCCCCUGCUCUGCUAUCUGCUCCAAGGCCUGUUUGCUAAGCAGUGAACUGCCUUCCUGUUGGGUUCACCCGGGGCUACUCAGCUCCCGCUAGCUCUGGGGAGUGUGAUGGGCCAGGGUGGACAGCCUGACCUGCAAAAAGGUGCAGUGAACACUGGGGACUUUGAGAGACUGUAGAUGGCCAGAGAGCUUUUGAGGGCCCCCAAGAGCCCCAGCUUGAGAAGCCCUGGCAAAGCCAGUCGUUUGGGGGGGUAGCCCCUUGACACCCUUUGGUCGUCCUCACCUCCCAUCAGGGAAAUCCUUACAAAGCUGGUGCCCAGGGCUGUCAUUCCCCAGGUGUGACACUGGGGAGAUGGCCUCUGCUCUCUGACACCUGGGUCCCAUUGCAUCUCUGCUGGGCUGCAGGUGCCCUUAGAAGCUGGGUGUUUGGCUGGUGCCAUUACCUCAGCUGCCUACCCAUCCUGCCAUGACCGUCACACUGGAUUUGAGUGACAACAGAGGGAUGUCAAGAAAAGCAUGAGCACCAAGAUGGCUCUCAGGAGAUUCGGCUGGAGCCUCUGUGAGAAGCUGUCUGCAAGGGGACAGGGAGCCCGGAAGCAGGGACAGGAAGGCAGGUGUGGCGAGGGCUGAGGCCACAUUGAGACAGCAGUUCCAGGGUGCAUCCAACUUCAGUCUGCCUUGAGUCACCUUGGGAUGCUGCUCAGGUACAGAUUCUGCUGCCGUGGACCCAGGCGGGAACCCCCAGGGACACAGAGGCGGGCCAGGGGGCCCACUCUGGGCAGCAGCACUGUAAUGGGUUCUCUCCCACCCUCCGGGCCUGGGCUCUGGUCAAAGGGAGGCAGCUGGUCACUGGUGUCUGGAAGAAAUGAUGGUUCUGGAAAAGCUCGAGAGCCCCUGGCCUUGCCAAGCGACGAAGCAACGCGAGGGUGCAGUUAUGGUUUAUCGCCAGGAAAAGACCUCUGCCUUCCAGCGUGCUGAGAGUUGUUCCCACCCGACACGGCCCCAGGGACCUGAAGGAAUGUGGCUCUCUGAGCCCCGCCUUCCUCCCUGAAGGGAGUGGAUUCGCUCUUAAAAAGUGGUCUGUAAACUGAGUUGUUCUCCAGCCCGGGCUGUUUCCAGUGGCUCCUGUUGUGUUUUAAGACCACGGAUGCAUUUCUUCUGAGAAAUACCCACCUCUGGGGACCUGGUGCUCAGCAGGCAGCACACACCAGUGAGCUGGGGAAGACCCCCUGGGGUGCACAGUGGCCCACGGGUCACUGGGCUCCUGAGCGCCUGAGAGCUAGUGCUUUCAAGAUUGGGGAUUCAGACUUGGUCCCCCAAAUGGGCUGAGGUCCAUGGCCAGUUACCAGCCCAGAGCCCUGACCAAGACCAGUGACUGAAGUGGUGGGACAGAGGUGGCCCAGGGCAAAGCAGCCCGUUAGCUGGAAAAGGAGGCGAGAGAAGGGUCCAUCCUAGUGGACCAGGCUUCUUGUCCCUGGUCAGAUGCUGGCCGUACUCUAGGACUUUCCAUGGCACAUGAUUGUUUAAAGUGCUCCAGGAAACCAACAUCUGUGACACUUCAUGUACCCUAAAGAGGUCUCGAGGCUCCAAUACCAGAGUUGCAUGGCCAAAGCCGCCUGGGAAAUGCUGAGUCAGACGGCAGCCUCCUUGCGGGAGGGCUCUGCCUCAGUGGGCCCUGGCCUGCGCAUCGCCAGCAGAUGAGUCCCACCUGCCCGACUGACUUUAGUCUUCCAGAGCCUCACCUGAGGUCUGUAUGCCAGGGAACACACUUUGGGAACGCAGUCAAUGGAAGGCCUUCAUAACUAAACAGUCUUUCUGUUUCCGUAUCAGUCGCUGCUGCUGCAUAACAAAUCACCCCAAACUUAGCAGUUUAAAACAAUAAGUAUUUAUUAUCUCACAGUUUCUGUGGGUCAGGAAUUCAGAUGGGGCCCAACCAGCGAGUCCUACUGUGGUCUUUCCUGAGGUUGCAGGCAGGGUGUCAGCUGUAGCUGUAGUCAUCUGAGGGCUUCUUAAAUGACUCACUCACAUGGUUGGAAUAAAGGUCUCACCCCUUGCAAUUUGGAUUUCUCCACGAGACUGCUUAGAGUUUCCUCACAAGAUGGCAGCUGCCUUCCCACAGAGUGAGCCAUGCAAGACAGCAAGACUGAAGCCCCAAGGCCUUUUAUGACCCAGCCUUGGAUGGCACAUAUGCAUAUGGUAAUUUCCUCCAUGUCCUAUUGGUUAGCCAGUCCAGCCCUGCUCACUGUGGGAGGAGACCACACUGGCUGUGAUUGUCAGGAGGGGGGACCCUUUGGAGACCAUCUUGGAAGCUGGCGACCAUGGUAACCAUCACUUCCUUCCCACAGUUGGCUUGUUGCCAUUUAGUGGACACUAACCUGAGCAGAGCUGUUAACCUGUGUUGGGAAGAGAACAAAAAGAGACCAGGAAGUCAUGAGCCUCAUCAAGCAGCAGGGCAGAGAGAACGCAGCCCCCAGCCAAUCGCUCGCGCUUCGCCGGGUCAGGGGCACCGUGACCCUGCGCACCGCUGGCCCUCGGGCAGCCAGUUCCACCCUUGCCUCUCAGUCAAGCCACUCGUUUCCACGAGAUGCAUGAGAUGUAAUAUUUUUGUCAUGACAGCUACAUCCACAAAAGCAGCUCUGCUUCUGGAAGUUCUGAGACAGGAUCAGUGAGUUGGGAGAGCCGUGCGGGAAGAUUAGAGCAGAGCGUGAACUCGGGAGGGGCAGAUGCCAAUGAUAAACAAAUAAUAAAUAGGCCAGAUACAAUAUUCAUCUCAUCUCCAGGACGAGGGUUAAGUACAUUAGCAAGAUGAGGAGUCAGGUGAGCCACAUCUGCGGUGACCACAUCUCUGGGUUGGGAUGGAGAGGGUUCCCUGGCCAGGAGGCCACGUGGUACUGAGCAAGCUCCUGGUACCCAAAUCAUCCACGUCCCAGGCUGACCCUUGGUCAUUGGCUCUGUGGCCUAGGCAGGUGACCACAGUCCUGUGUCCCCUCUGCAGAGUGGGGCGAUGUGAAAUGAGGAUUCAGAGGGAUAAUUCCCUGAGCACAGGGGCUCCUGAAAGCUUUGCCAUGGCAAAGCUGAAGGUGGGUCACCAGCUGACGGCACCCCACGUGUGAGGCACCCUUAUAGAGGGAGUCCUAUUGCUGGAAGGGUACGGUGACAGAGUAGAUCCCGCGUCUCAGAACAGACUUCCUUACCGCAGGGGCCUCCUGCAGGAGUGACCCCAGAGCCUGGGAGGCACGCAGCCCCUCCUUGGCUGGGGGCAUGUGCGGGCUCGGAGCCUGCCCAGCGCCUUCCUGUCCUGUUGGGGCAUGCUUUCCAGCACAGGGAGCAUCCUGGGUGUGUUCUUGCCUUGGAAGUCUCAACACGCUCCGAGGACUUGGAGCACCUCUAAGUUUGCUCUCCCAACAAGCAGAUCAGGUGUAGGGACAACACUCAGAGGACAGAACGCAGGAGC
Molecule: long non-coding RNA, 3745 nt
Organism: Sciurus carolinensis (gray squirrel)
Lineage: Eukaryota; Metazoa; Chordata; Mammalia; Rodentia; Sciuridae
Exons: 3
Source: RefSeq, a predicted model, not a curated record